Molecule: long non-coding RNA, 3015 nt
Filed under: Sus scrofa (pig)
Lineage: Eukaryota; Metazoa; Chordata; Mammalia; Artiodactyla; Suidae
Description: lncRNA (ENSSSCG00015049769.1)
Source: RNAcentral
AACUUGCUGAGGAACGAGUGGGAACGAUUUGGAAAGUGAAAGGUCAGCAGAAGAAAGACAAGUGUCCCACGCCUCCCCUUCCCACUUCCCCACCCCCAGGUGCACACCCUGCACCAGUCACCAUCCUUGGGUGUGAGUGGAGAGGGGGCUCCUUGAGGUCCCGGCGGGCAGGGCUCUGACUCCCGGCUCCCUCUUCUCUGAAAUGGAUGUGGCCCCGUGGGGACACAGUGGUCCCUGGACUGUUUAUCCUGCAGAAGGCACUCGCCGCGUACGCCUGAUGAGUACUUGUGCCGCCGACAAGCUAAAUCUUGACUUUUAUUUCCUUCGCUUUGAUUUCCAUUCAAGUGGCCACAUGUGGCUAGUGGUUGCCAUGCUGGACAGCGCAGAGCUGGAGGGAAAGAAGCAGAGCCGCUGGUGCAGUGCCAGCUCCCCCCUCAGCUACCAGAUAAUUCCUCUGGACCGUGGUGCUUAAGAGAGACUGGUUCCCCCAAAGAGGAGUGUCUCCCCAAGGUAUUAAAUCUGGAAGCUGGGGAAGGAAAAGCCCACACUUUUGCAAAGAAAUUGAGAUAAUUGAGGCUUGAAAUUUUCACUGAGGUGAAACAGAGCCUUCCUUCAUUAUUAACAAACAGGCUUUUGGAAGGAAAACAGGGGACUAAAUGGAAAGGCCUGCCUUUUCCUUUUUUAACCCUUCUUCAUCCACCAGGGACAAAUUGCAGAAAAGUCUGGGAGUGUCCAAGGACUUUUUGUGUGUGCAUAGGAAAAGAGAGGAGUGAACAGUGAAUAGACAAUUAGAUGCUCAGGUUCUCAGACUGGCUGUGGUCUGCCUGCCUUCUGCUUUGGCAUCGGCUGAACCACAGCUUACCUGGGACGUGGGGAGAAGACAGGAAUGAGAACCAGUUGGGUUUGCCUUCGUUGGCCGUGUUCGGAAGAGGGUCUGGUGGGGGGGUGCCUGAGACUCCCCAAAUAUGGAAGAUCUCAGGUAGCCCUACACCCAGUGCCAUUUGGCGUUGGUGCAUUCACCAUGUUUGUCUAAGAAAACUGCUCUGUUUGGGAAGGUUCUUUGUACUGAUUGGCCAGCAUCCGUCACUGGACAUCUGCUGAGUAAUUAGCUUUGUGUUUCAUGAGAUUCAGCAGAAGCAUGAUGUAUUACUAAGGCACAUGGCACUGUGGAGUAGAAAAGAUAAAAUAUAUACUCUUGGAUGAAAUGGCUGCAAAGGUGCCAUCCUUGAUCUUUCUUGGAACAAAAAUGUUAUUAGAGGAGUUCCUGUGGUGGCGCAGUGGUUAACGAAUCCGACUAGGAAGCAGGAGGUUGCGGGUUCAGCCCCUGGCCUUGCUCAGUGGGUUAAGGAUCCGAUGUUGCCCUUAGCUGCGGUGUAGGUUGCAGACGUGGCUCGGAUCCUGUGUUGCUGUGGCUCUGGCGUAGGCCGGUGGCUACAGCUCAGAUUCGACCCCUAGCCUGGGGACCUCCAUAUGCCGCGGGAGCGGCCCAAGAAAUGGCAAAAAAAAAAAAAAAAUGUUAUUAGAGGAGUUCCUGUGGUGGCGCAGUGGUUAACGAAUCCGACUAGGAAGCAGGAGGGUCUGGCCAGAGGGAAAACGGGGCAGACAGAGUUAAAAGUAGCCAGCCAGAGUCCAGAGACUGUCCUGGGAACCUGGCAUGCCUGCCUGCCUGUCCCUCCCCUUGAAGUUGGCUCCCAUCACUGUUCUUUCUGGCACACGCCUUUGGCCGGUAUCUCCACGGGUAGCACUCUCCAGCUUGGCUGUGGUGGCAGGGCUGGUGUGCACCCUCCGUUCACGCCGUGGGCCACGGCCCUUAGCCAAGGCCGGGCCGUCCCCUCGUCCUGGGUGCUGAAUGGGUACCACCCCAUCCCCCUCUGCAGUCCUAGCCCCACUGCUUCACCUCUCUUCCCAGACAAGCUGCCAUGACAACCACUGGCCCCAGGACCCAGCAGGGUAGCCAAAGGAUGCUUUAUUGAAAGACGAGCUUUUAAUAAAAGUUAAGUCCCUUCUGAAACAAAAAUGGAGCCCGUGGUCUCCCAGCGUCCAGGAAUGUCUCCGUUUUGACAUGUCAAAAGGACACAGCAGCCAGCUUUGAAAGGAGCUCUCACUGGCCAAAGCUGGGACCAUUUGAAAUGAAAAGAAGUGAUGACAGUAACAGGUUAUAAUCCACAGAAUCAGAAUCUGUGAGUCUCCGUUUGAGUAAAUGAAUGAGUGAACGAACGAGAUGGAAAUAACUCUUCCUUUGAGUAGGAGAGAUGGUGAAUUUAGAAAAAUCACCAUAUGGCCACCAUGGUAAUUGUUUCAAGCGAGAACCAUAAAUAAUGCUACAACUAGGGGCUGAAUGGUUGAUGAACAGGCUGUUUACACACCCUCAAAGUAUAUUCCCGCAGGGUACUUAUUCAGUGACAAAGGAAAGAGGAGUGGCCUUGACAGUGAGGAAGCUGGCUGGCCCCACCGUGACUGAGGGUGGUGAAGGGUCAAGUUGGCAUCGUGCCUCCCGUUGGGACGCCACAUCACUUCCGGGGUUGUCCUGUCAAGAGGGAUCGUCAGGGCAACCCCAGCGGAGGGGCAGGCUGCAAAAUCUGGCCCGCAAGUCCGUGAAGGCAAAGCAAGACAGAGCAGCUGCCCCAGGUGGGAGGAGACUAGAGGGACACAACAGGUAAGUGCAGCCUGUGGUUCUUCUUAUCCUAUAAGACACGAGGAAGACUAGGAGCAAAGCGCCUAAGGUCUAUGCAUUCGACACCAGUGCUGUGAGCGUUGUUAAUUUCCGUGUUUUGACACCUUGGCGGUGCUUGUGUCAGAGAGUGUCCUUGUUCUUAGGACCGCAGGUAUAAAAGGGCACCAUACCUGCAUUUACCUGGAAGAGGCACAGGGCACCCCCUGGGGUGAGGGCAUUCUCUGUCCCCCCAUAGGGCUGUGGGUCACAGGGGCAUCUCCAUUUGUUGAAACGUACUGAGCUGUGCACCAAGCAUCUCUGCAUUUCCAAUGUAUAGGCUAUGCUUUGCUGACAAAUGAAAU